UACGAGGGGGGCGAGCGUUGUUCGGAAUUACUGGGCGUAAAGGGCGCGUAGGCGGUCAGCACAAGUCAGUUGUGAAAUCUCCGGGCUUAACUCGGAAAGGUCAACUGAUACUGUGCGACUAGAGUGCGGAAGGGGCAACUGGAAUUCUCGGUGUAGCGGUGAAAUGCGUAGAUAUCGAGAGGAACACCUGCGGCGAAGGCGGGUUGCUGGGCUGACACUGACGCUGAGGCGCGAAAGCUAGGGGAGCAAACAGG
Molecule: ribosomal RNA, 254 nt
Filed under: uncultured bacterium
Lineage: Bacteria
Description: partial 16S ribosomal RNA
Rfam family: Bacterial small subunit ribosomal RNA
Source: RNAcentral